UUGAGUUUGAGCUGCUGCUGCUGGGCCCACCUUGUCAGCAGGCCCGGCCGGUGUGCCUCGUGCGUGUGUGUGUAAAAAAUAAGUAAAUAAAUCUUAGUCCGUGUAAAAGUAAAGUUGGGGGAACGGAGAAACUGGCACACGAAGCUGUAGUGAAGUUGGGGGAACAGAGAAGCUGGCGAGGCCGGGCGGAGGCAGGUGCCAAGGGGGCCGGUGGUGGGGCGGGGCAGGGCCGGGCCGCCGGCGUCACGGACACGUCAGCCGGGCGCGGAGAUGGGCCUGUAAGGGCCUGUGAUUAACGUAAACCCGGUGAAAUACACGUACUUGGGUCAUGUGUCAUUAAUAAAACACCGUGUCCGACUGCUAUAGGAAUAGACACAGACUGUAUUCGAGUACGUAUUUUCACAAAAUGGGCAAGUUCCCGAAACGCUAGCCCCUUUCUGCUGUGGAUGUAGAUGUGGUAGAUGCCUGGGUAGAUUUCCAGCCACAACCCUGGCACUGGUCCAAUUCAAAGUUCUUUCCAGUUUUGAUCAAACGAGGAGUGUCUUUACAUGAAUUUUGGGAUAUCAACAGAUGAAAAGACAUCACAGACAACAAAAUGUCAGUUAUGAGCAACAGAAAAUUACCCCACUGCUAAUAUAUAUACACAACAUCUGGUGCAAAGCCUAUUGAUAUCAAAGUUGAGAAUUUAAUGUUUGAUGAUUCUGUGCCCGAUCCACAUAAGGGAAAGCACAUACGCAAUUACUUGUGUCAAGAGAGAAACAUUAGAAGCUAUAGUAAUAUUUAUUUUAAAAAGUGAUAUCAAAUACAACCAUAUAUAUUUCUGCCUACUUGGAGAGCAUUUUCAAAAUAUCAAACAGCACUGCCAUUUUCCAGUGAAAACAAUGACAAAGCAUUUCAGCUUUCCUUUUUUUAAUCUUUUCAGUAUUAUAUGCUUUAUAUACACAAAAUAGAGACAAUUGUAUAGGAAUCCAGAGCCAAAGACAUGAUACUGAAAGCAGUCUCAAGACAAAAAAAUCUAUUACUGAAAAUUAUUUCUAAAAUACACAACUAUUAGACAAGAGAUGAAAAAAAUUACUCCCUUACAAAAUCCUAACACUACAGUGGUUUGUACACAUGGGGUUUCAUGUAGCAAAAAAUAAAA
This is a long non-coding RNA of Harpia harpyja (harpy eagle), 1141 nucleotides long. RefSeq lists it as uncharacterized. Lineage: Eukaryota; Metazoa; Chordata; Aves; Accipitriformes; Accipitridae. The transcript has 2 exons. The record is from RefSeq and is a predicted model, not a curated record.